GGGGAUGUAGCUCAGUUGGUAGAGCGAUCACUUCGCAUGCGAUAGGUAAGGGGAUCAAUGCCCCUCAUCUCCA
This is a transfer RNA of Selaginella moellendorffii, 73 nucleotides long. It matches the Rfam family "tRNA". Rfam says of the family: Transfer RNA (tRNA) molecules are approximately 80 nucleotides in length. Their secondary structure includes four short double-helical elements and three loops (D, anti-codon, and T loops). Lineage: Eukaryota; Viridiplantae; Streptophyta; Lycopodiopsida; Selaginellales; Selaginellaceae. The record is from Rfam.